GUACGACGACCCCUCACACGAAGAAAAAAACUAACGAUCUCUCCCUCCGCCUGGGAACUCGAUCUGGAUCACGGCGGCGGCGGCGGCGGCGACUCCUCUCUCUCUCUCUCUCUCUCUCCGCGCACCGAUGCAUCCCCCGGAGCCCUGCCCACCUCCUCCCUUUUCAGCGCCCACAUCGCGACCCCUGUGGCUACUCCACUCUUGAGGCGUCGUGGAGGUUACGGAAACCCGAUGGCGUUGGCUUGCCGGAGAUGAAGAAGACAGCCAGGUGAUGCGGUACUCGGGAGGUGGAAUUGGCAACGGAGGUGGCUCCAUAUGGAUGUCGCGGACCUCCCACUGGAUGGAAUCGAAGUGGGACGAUGUGCUUCGGUCGUCAACGGCGGCUGCGCGGGAUGCAGUAUGGUAUGGAUCGGGCAUCUCGAGGAUGGGCUUUCUUCGCAAGGCUCGUCCACGCCACAGCGGAGGUGUUUGAGGAGUCUGUCCCGGGGUUGCUCGUGAAGCAUGUCGACGUCUCCGUCUUGCCAUUGCUCAAAACACCGCCCUGCCGGCUGGGUCCUUAUUUGCCAUCGAGGCCUUCCGCAACAUGGUCCAUGAUGCCUGAUUGCUUCCUCUUUGGCUGGAUCGGGUCCAACCACACAGUAAGCUAUGCCUCGUCUUCCGUCUUCUUUCUUAAAUUUUCUAUGGUUCUUGGUCUGAUUCUCAAUAAAGAGCUCAAACUCGUCUUGAGUUUUUGGUUAUGGCCUGCACUAUAUUGUUGGUACAGAUUAUUGUACUACUGUCUUGAGUGGCAAAUAUUUACUGAGAUGGGAUAAUAGUGCAGGUUGAUGUGUGUAGCACGUGUUAACAAAAUCUCAAUUAUCUGCAUGGUAUAUAUAUCUCUAAUCAUUGUCUUUUCCAGAAUGAAGAGAAGGUAUGAGAAAGAUAAUACCAAUAUUCCCUAUACAUUUGACUUUUAACUUUUACCAGAUUCUUGGAUUCCUCAAAAUCAUGUCUAUUAGUGUUUCUUCUAUAUAUAUAUAUGCAUGAUCUUUCCUUUUGAAAUUCUCAUUAUGUACAUGAUUUUUGCUACUGCUGGCCUUGAAUUGGCACUGAUUUGGGCCACCUUGUUGAAUGAUUCGUGCACGGAUGUGUUUCGUUGGUCUUUUGCGGCAUGUGGGGAGCGUAAACUGGAAGAACGUGUGCAGCAGGCAUCGCUGCUGCGCUGGACGACGUUGUGCGAGGCCAUGGCCAUGGACGAUGUGCUGUUGGAGAACGACGCAGGGCUAAGGUAGUCGAUGUGAACGACCACUGGGUAUGUAAUGGUUUAGUCCUCCUGAAUUUGCACUCUGUUUUUUAGUCCUCUGUAGUGUUGUUCAAUUUGGGCAGGGCUUACAUUCUCUCAUAGGAUCAGACCAAACAAGGUCUCAUAAGCUUUGCUGUUGUUUUGUUCGAAACAUAAAAACAUCCAUUAUCGAGGAAAGAGUCAUUCUCACAUAGCGAUUUGUUUGCCUCCUUUCAGAAUUCCAAUUGCUUAUGGAUUCGUAUGAUGCAGCCUACAUGUUCCCAUCACCCAGUAAAAUAUAGACAUUAAUUAUUGCAUCUGGGUUUAUAUUAUGCAUCCCCACUGCCAGUUUCAUUGUUAAGUAGGAACGAAGAUUACAUUUAUAAAUGAUAUAUGUAUGUAAUUGUGUGCUGCAUUCUUGCUGCUUCCAGUAGAUGUACUAUCUUUUCAGCGUUGACUUUUAAAGCGUUUUUGCUGACAAGAAGCUUAUCAGUCGUAAUGUUCAGCACCUACAUUACCCGAUGGUCAUGUAGUGCUAGGGAAAUAGAUAUACAAUAUGUUAUAAAGGAUAAGACAAAUAAUUAUUGGGUGUGAAAGAUCAGGAUGGAAGCAUUUUUUUUGCUAUCAUAUGAAUUAUUGAAUACAAUCUCGUAUGCAACCCCUCAAAAUUAGAUUUAAUUCAUGCUCGUACACCAUCACUUAAGUAGGAAAAGAGAAGUAUUUCUAAGGCUACUCUAUAUCUUAUUUUUCUUUCACAGCAUAUAUAUUAUUAGUUAUAUGUUUGCCUGGGUAGGAAAGUAACAAUCAAUCCCUCAAAAUAAAAGGAAACUAAUGAUCAAGACCUUAGCUGGCUGACGGUAACUCCAUUCAUUCUCAUCCAAUUAUUAUUAUUUUAGUUAUUUUUCUAUUCUCAUGGGUAGGUUUCUUCUGUGUUGUUUUGCUUUAGUUUCGUAGUUGUCACUCCCAUGUAUUUCUUCGACGAGGAGGCGUGGACACGAGGCCUAACUAUCCGGUCGGGACUUUGAGUUGCCUGCCAUGGUGGAGCUCGGGAUGUUGGCAGAUCUGACCGGACUGGUGAGCACUCUGCCCACACUUGCCGAGGUCGCCCUGCUCUGUGCCAUGCUCGUGCCAUUUGGAGUAACAGUCUACAAUGCCACAACACUUUGUUGGACCUAUUUUUGGCGUUUCUUCUGCCAGCUGAUGAGUCUUUUAGGGAUGCAAAUUGUCUGCCUUCGAAAAAUCAGAAGAAUGAAAGAAUGGGAUUUAUAGCAUAUAUGCUCUAUGUGCAGCUGAUGAAGCUUUGAGAGAUGAAAAUUGGUUGCCUUUGGAAAAUAAGAAGGAAAGAACGGGUGUUUCAAUUGGUGGGGGAAUCGGAAACAUCUCAGACAUUUUAAAUGCAUGACUGCUGAUUGCUGAAAAUGAAAUAUGCAGUUAUGGAUCCAUUCUAUAGUUGGAAUAUGAGACUCCAUAUGUGUGUGUAUGUUUAUUCUUGCUUGAAUCUGGUGCUGAAGGUGUGAACAGGUGCUUUGACAUUAGCAAGUCUUUUGCUUUAUCCGAAUACGCUUGGUGAUGGCGCCGUGUUCAGUGGUACACAACGAGAUGUGAUGAAGCUUAAAUUUAUUGGUUGGUAUCAAUUGAACGACUUGUCAACAAGAGAUGUGGCUAAAGACUUGCCAUUUUCAUUGAUUAAGAAGAAGAAAUUGCCCGGUUAAUUGGCGGAAAACCGGGCUAAAAACGAUACAAGAUCUCUGCGGUCAUAAUGGUUACUCCUAUGAUCCUAUCUAAUAUAGGCACUCAAAUUUUAGUGUAGUGUCUCUGUAUUUGAGGCAUGGUUCACAUGAGCAAUUAUAUGAAGUUUUGGUUCAGAGAGAAGAAACAUGGUUUUCUUCAAAAAAAAGAGGGUCGUGGAUUAUGGAGUCCACAUGAUCUUAUAGAUGGACGAUGCUGGGCAAUUUCUUUAGAUCUUCUUGAUUUGUGGGAUACUUGAUCUUGCAACUCUGACUUGACUAAUAGACUAGAAAAUAUCUUAUUAACGAGGAGAGACAGGCAGCAGCGCAACAAGGAUUAGGGAAAGUAGCAGCAGCAGCAUGACUCUGCAUAGAAACAGUUUCGAAAAAGCUCGAACAACAAUGAGCUUGUUUUAUUUGCUGAUAAGGCUACAUAAUGUGAUUUCUCUAUCACUGAGCAUAAAAUCUUGUUUUGCAGUACACUAGAAACUCAAGAUGUCACAGCAAUGGUUGCAUAGAUUAGGACACUAUAAUGAAUAGUGUGAUUUUGAGUAUUGUAUAUAUCAUAUGUUAUUUAGUGACUUAGUUAUGCUUGAAGAGAGUAAUGGAGCCGAGUCUCUGUAUACUUUGUAUACGCAAGUACAUUUGCUUGCUGGUAGAGAAUUUCAUGUAUGACAUGUAUGAUUAAUGCUACAAGAUGCAAUAAUGUAAUUAUGUUCUUGAAUUAUUAUUAUUAUUCUGAAUGUUUGGAACUA
Molecule: non-coding RNA, 3743 nt
Organism: Aegilops tauschii subsp. strangulata
Lineage: Eukaryota; Viridiplantae; Streptophyta; Magnoliopsida; Poales; Poaceae
Source: RefSeq, a predicted model, not a curated record